This 81-nucleotide small RNA is filed under the name Flavobacterium sp. 9AF. Its description in RNAcentral is "Flavo-1 RNA". It matches the Rfam family "Flavo-1 RNA". Lineage: Bacteria; Pseudomonadati; Bacteroidota; Flavobacteriia; Flavobacteriales; Flavobacteriaceae. The record is from Rfam by way of RNAcentral.
CAUUAGCCCUGAUGGAAGUGGAAAUCUUGUCAUUGGGAGGAACGAAGAAAUGACAAAUUGAAGCGAACAGCAGGAAUUAUG